GUGAUCCUGACGGACCCCACUGCUAUCGGAUGGGACCUAGCCCAUGUUAGCUGGUGCGUUCCUGGCGAACAGGGACGCAACGUCCGGCUCACUAACACGUAGUCAACCUGCCCGGAAGACGCGGACAAACCCGGGAAACUGGGGCCUAUCCCCGAUAGAUGACCUCAUCAGGAAGGACUGGUCGUCGAAAAGGGCGCACGGGUAUGCUCUGUGCGCACCGCUUCAGGAUGGGACUGCGGCCGAUCAGGCUGUUGGCGGGGUAAUGGCCCACCAAACCUGUAACCGGUACGGGCUUUGAGAGAAGGAGCCCGGAGAUGGACACUGAGACAAGGGUACAGGCCCUACGGGGCGCAUCAGGCGCGAAAACUUCGCAAUGCGCGAAAGCGCCACGCGGCUAGUCCGAGUGCUCCCCGCUAAAGGGAGCUAUUCUCGGCUGUAAAUUGUAUAACG
Molecule: ribosomal RNA, 450 nt
Filed under: uncultured archaeon
Lineage: Archaea
Description: bacterial SSU rRNA
Rfam family: Archaeal small subunit ribosomal RNA
Source: RNAcentral